AAAAAAAUUGACAAUGUAACAACAAUAUAUGUGGAUAUAUGUAUAUGCAUGCACCUAUCUUGUUUCUCAUAUAUAUUCUUUUUGUUAUGCUUGCUGCUUGUUUGUGU
Molecule: non-coding RNA, 107 nt
Filed under: Foraminifera environmental sample
Lineage: Eukaryota; Foraminifera
Source: RNAcentral